This 245-nucleotide ribosomal RNA is filed under the name uncultured bacterium. RNAcentral describes it as "partial small subunit ribosomal RNA". It matches the Rfam family "Bacterial small subunit ribosomal RNA", at positions 26 to 285 of the family's 1533-position model. The record is from RNAcentral.
AGAAUCAACGCUGGCGGCGUGCCUAACACAUGCAAGUCGCACGAGAAAGGGACUUCGGUCCUGAGUAAAGUGGCGCACGGGUGAGUAACACGUGAAUAAUCUACCUCCGAGUGGGGAAUAACUGAGAGAAAUCUUAGCUAAUACCGCAUAACACUUACGAGUCAAAGCAGCAAUGCGCUUGGAGAGGAGUUCGCGGCAGAUUAGUUAGUUGGCGGGGUAAUGGCCCACCAAGACGAUGAUCUGUA